GACGCCGAGCUGGCAAUGCCCCGCCCGCGCCGCUGACGGCGCGCGGAGAGCGCACGCACCCGUGACGUAGCCCAGGCGCCGCGGCGCGCGGGGUGGGGCGGAGGUCGCGCCGAGGGCGGCGGGCUGCCGCGCAAGGGUGGCGCGCGCGCGGUGAGUGUGCGAGUGUCGGCGGCGCCUGAUCCUCUACGUGGGGCCCGGGCUCUGCGGGCGGGAGGCGGGAGCUGGCAGCCCCAGGCGGUAGCGCUUCGUCCUGCGGCCUGGGUGUGUCAGGAGUCGCUGCGGUCGGGGCGCCCUUGCCUCAGGAGACUUAGAUCCCCGCUGGUCCGCCCGUCCCGCCGCAGUGGUCUGAGCCGCAGCCCUUUCCCGUGCCGCCCGCGGGUCCCGUUCCUCCCGUGUCUCCAUGCCGCAGCCAGCGUGGCCGCGGCUACCUUGCCCUCGCCCCCGCUCAGCUUCUGCGGCUCCCGGCACUGCCCUACUCCUUUGGGUUGCAUCUCUUUCCUGGCUUUUCACCCUUGCUGAUUCUGUAAGGGAUAGUGCAGCCAGCGGACGUCCCAGGCCAAAUGUUUUUUGAUAGGCAGUUGAGGACUUUCCCGAGGGCGGUGGUUGGGGGCGAGGCUGCCAGCCUCCCAAGAGCAGCGGCACGCCAGGGAGCCGGGCGGGGAGGGGAGUGCUGCCACCGAGGUCAGGAGCAGGGUCCUCGGCCUCACUAGGUCCUGGUGGCCGAUACUUCCCGCCCACGACCGCCCCCCGGAUUUCCAUUUGCUAAUACCGGUCCGCAGCCUUCUUUCCUGAAAGUUGCAUAAAGUUGGAAGCUCUUCAACUUGCCUCCCCGACUCCUGAAAUCCCGAAUACACCUCUGAAAAGGAGUGUACUCACAAGUAUUCUCAUUUUUCAAUGAGAGUCAGUCAGUGAGUCAUUAAGGAAGUUUUCCUUGUUCCUGGUCAACAAAGAAAUGUGGAGUGUCUUGGCUGAAUCCUCAUACAGACAAGAUCAUUAUGGUGCUGUUAGGUAGGACUUGUAUCCAGAUGUAAGGUUGAAAAAGUGAUAUAAUAAAGGAACCAAGGAGAAAAUUCAGAAGGAAAGAAAAAAUUGCCUCUGCAGGUGUGUGAGCAGGACUG
RNAcentral lists this small RNA (1118 nucleotides) under Pan troglodytes (chimpanzee). Its description in RNAcentral is "processed transcript". Lineage: Eukaryota; Metazoa; Chordata; Mammalia; Primates; Hominidae. The record is from RNAcentral.